CAGUAGCCGCGGGAACACGUAGGGUGCGAGCGUUAAUCGGAAUUACUGGGCGUAAAGCGUGCGCAGGCGGUUGUGUAAGACAGAUGUGAAAUCCCCGGGCUCAACCUGGGAACUGCAUUUGUGACUGGCAAGCUAGAGUGUGGCAGAGGGGGGUGGAAUUCCGCGUGUAGCAGUGAAAUGCGUAAAUAUGCGGAGGAACACCGAUGGCGAAGGCAGCCCCCUGGGCCAACACUGACGCUCAUGCACGAAAGCGUGGGGAGCAAACAGGAUUAGAUACCCCAGUAGUCCCUGUCUCUUAUAC
Molecule: ribosomal RNA, 301 nt
Filed under: uncultured bacterium
Lineage: Bacteria
Description: partial 16S ribosomal RNA
Rfam family: Bacterial small subunit ribosomal RNA
Source: RNAcentral